AUGGGAACGCGAAGAACCUUACCUAGACUUGACAUCUCCUGAAUAGUGUAGAGAUACAUGAAGCCCUUCGGGGCGAGGAAGACAGGUGGUGCAUGGUUGUCGUCAGCUCGUGUCGUGAGAUGUUGGGUUAAGUCCCGCAACGAGCGCAACCCCUCGUCCUUUCGUUUGUCACGCACGUAAUAGGUGGGAACGUACAGGGAAGGACUGCCGGGUCGGAUAAACCGGAACGGGAAGGUAGGGGAGUGACGUCAAGUCAUCAUGGCCCGUUACCGGCCGAGGGCGUACACACGUGCUACAAUGGCGCGUACAGAGGGCGUGCAAGCUAGCGAUAGUGAGCGAAUCCCAAAAACGACGCGUCGUAGUCCGGAUCGGAGUCUGCAACUCGACUCCGUGAAGUCGGAAUCGCUAGUAAUCGCAAAUCAGAAUGUUGCGGUGAAUACGUUCCCGGGUCUUGUACACACCG
Molecule: ribosomal RNA, 463 nt
Filed under: uncultured bacterium
Lineage: Bacteria
Description: bacterial SSU rRNA
Rfam family: Bacterial small subunit ribosomal RNA
Source: RNAcentral